Molecule: long non-coding RNA, 206 nt
Filed under: Elaeis guineensis (African oil palm)
Lineage: Eukaryota; Viridiplantae; Streptophyta; Magnoliopsida; Arecales; Arecaceae
Description: long non-coding RNA (EGUI_LNC030258)
Source: RNAcentral
CUUUUUCCAAAAGGUGCAGACAUGUUUGCUUAUUUUUCCUUUCACGAGCAACCAUAGAAAUCCAUCCACCUAGUGAUUUCCAGCCACCAAAUGGUUGGAAAGACCCAACCAUAAGCUUUUUGAAUGAAGAUGGCGUGGAUACCUUUGCAUAGCAUGUGUACAAGAAACUAUUGACACAUCGCCUAUCCUCAUAUAGUUUAUUUGGA